AGCGUGGAGACAGGUGGUGCAUGGCUGUCGUCAGCUCGUGUCGUGAGAUGUUGGGUUAAGUCCCGCAACGAGCGCAACCCUCACCCCUUGUUGCCAUCAGGUCACGCUGGGCACUCUAGAGGAACUGCCCCGGUCAACGGGGAGGAAGGCGGGGAUGACGUCAAGUCAUCAUGCCCCUUACGUCCUGGGCUGCACACGUGCUACAAUGGCCGGUACAAAGGGAUGCCACACCGCGAGGGAGAGCUAAACCCAAAAAGCCGGUCUAAGUUCAGAUUGGAGUCUGCAACUCGACUCCAUGAAGGAGGAAUCGCUAGUAAUCGCGUAUCAGCACGACGCGGUGAAUACGUUCCCGGGCCUUGUACACACCGCCCGUCACACCACGAAAGCCUGCUGUACUCGAAGUCGCUGAG
This 410-nucleotide ribosomal RNA is filed under the name uncultured Methylomirabilota bacterium. Its description in RNAcentral is "bacterial SSU rRNA". It matches the Rfam family "Bacterial small subunit ribosomal RNA", at positions 1025 to 1434 of the family's 1533-position model. Lineage: Bacteria; Methylomirabilota (SeqCode). The record is from RNAcentral.